GACGAACGCUGGCGGCGUGCUUAACACAUGCAAGUCGAACGGAAAGGCCCUGCUUGCAGGGUACUCGAGUGGCGAACGGGUGAGUAACACGUGGGUGAUCUGCCCUGCACUUCGGGAUAAGCCUGGGAAACUGGGUCUAAUACCGGAUAGGAGCCAUUUUUAGUGUGAUGGUUGGAAAGUUUUUUCGGUGUAGGAUGAGCUCGCGGCCUAUCAGCUUGUUGGUGGGGUAAUGGCCUACCAAGGCGGCGACGGGUAGCCGGCCUGAGAGGGUGGACGGCCACAUUGGGACUGAGAUACGGCCCAGACUCCUACGGGAGGCAGCAGUGGGGAAUAUUGCGCAAUGGGCGCAAGCCUGAUGCAGCGACGCCGCGUGGGGGAUGACGGCCUUCGGGUUGUAAACUCCUUUCGCCAGGGACGAAGCUUUUUGUGACGGUACCUAGAUAAGAAGCACCGGCUAACUACGUG
This 465-nucleotide ribosomal RNA is filed under the name uncultured bacterium. RNAcentral's name for it is "partial 16S ribosomal RNA". It matches the Rfam family "Bacterial small subunit ribosomal RNA", at positions 28 to 507 of the family's 1533-position model. The record is from RNAcentral.